RNAcentral lists this ribosomal RNA (497 nucleotides) under uncultured bacterium. RNAcentral's name for it is "partial 16S ribosomal RNA". It matches the Rfam family "Bacterial small subunit ribosomal RNA", at positions 28 to 507 of the family's 1533-position model. The record is from RNAcentral.
GAUGAACGCUGGCGGCGUGCCUAAUACAUGCAAGUCGAGCGAACAGACGAGGAGCUUGCUUCUCCGACGUUAGCGGCGGACGGGUGAGUAACACGUGGAUAACCUACCUAUAAGACUGGGAUAACUUCGGGAAACCGGAGCUAAUACCGGAUAAUAUAUUGAACCGCAUGGUUCAAUAGUGAAAGACGGUUUUGCUGUCACUUAUAGAUGGAUCCGCGCCGCAUUAGCUAGUUGGUAAGGUAACGGCUUACCAAGGCAACGAUGCGUAGCCGACCUGAGAGGGUGAUCGGCCACACUGGAACUGAGACACGGUCCAGACUCCUACGGGAGGCAGCAGUAGGGAAUCUUCCGCAAUGGGCGAAAGCCUGACGGAGCAACGCCGCGUGAGUGAUGAAGGUCUUCGGAUCGUAAAACUCUGUUAUUAGGGAAGAACAAAUGUGUAAGUAACUAUGCACGUCUUGACGGUACCUAAUCAGAAAGCCACGGCUAACUACGUG